Long non-coding RNA from Suricata suricatta (meerkat), 498 nucleotides. RefSeq lists it as uncharacterized. The record is from RefSeq and is a predicted model, not a curated record. NCBI's taxonomy places the organism in Eukaryota, Metazoa, Chordata, Mammalia, Carnivora, Herpestidae. The transcript is spliced from 3 exons.
GGCACCUACGGCGCCAGCGGUUCUUCGCCCCGCCCCUCACUGAGACCCGUCCCUUCCGGGCGCCCCGAGCGUGUUCUCCACCUACGCCGCCUGCCAGAUGUGUGCUUGGAGAUGCCCCUGGAAGAUUCCAGCCAGCCUCUGCUGACCACGGUCGGGAAGUAGAUGUGCCCGGGAAACCGGCAGAACCGGGAGUCGUGACGCGGUUUUAAGCCACCAGGAGGCUCACUAUCCAACAGUGGAUAAACGGUCCCAUCCCAAAAUGCAGGAGGCUGGAGGUUGGAUCUUACCGGCCCAGGACAGGCGUGGACACGGCGGGUGGGAGCGAGCAGCCACCAGGAGCCACGCAGAGGCAUAGCCAGUGAGCCCUGACGGCGCACGGCAGCAGGUGCAAAUGUCUAGAGCCCCACAGGUAUGCCAUCUGUCUGUCCCUCCGGGAGAGGGGAUAGGGGGUGGAACAGGACAGCUUCUGUUGAACUGCUUUGACGAGUCUGGGGUUGG